GAACCUAAAGGGAACUGAGAUAUGAAUCUUUUAUUUGGGCACUUUAGAUUCAUGGAGUUAGUAGUGCAACCGACCACAGUCUUU
Molecule: non-coding RNA, 84 nt
Filed under: Clostridium cavendishii
Lineage: Bacteria; Bacillati; Bacillota; Clostridia; Eubacteriales; Clostridiaceae
Also listed under: 1 other name
Description: c-di-GMP-II sequence
Rfam family: Cyclic di-GMP-II riboswitch aptamer
Source: RNAcentral